UCUGGAUGGAUUCGAAUCUGAUGUCAGUGAGGAGGGUUAAGUCGUAACAAGGUAUCCGUAGGGGAACCUGCGGAUGGAUCACCUCCA
RNAcentral lists this ribosomal RNA (87 nucleotides) under Thermoplasma sp. Its description in RNAcentral is "partial 16S ribosomal RNA". It matches the Rfam family "Archaeal small subunit ribosomal RNA", at positions 1392 to 1478 of the family's 1478-position model. Lineage: Archaea; Methanobacteriati; Thermoplasmatota; Thermoplasmata; Thermoplasmatales; Thermoplasmataceae. The record is from RNAcentral.